This 253-nucleotide ribosomal RNA is filed under the name uncultured bacterium. RNAcentral describes it as "partial 16S ribosomal RNA". It matches the Rfam family "Bacterial small subunit ribosomal RNA", at positions 524 to 776 of the family's 1533-position model. The record is from RNAcentral.
UACGUAGGGGGCAAGCGUUGUCCGGAUUUAUUGGGCGUAAAGAGCGUGUAGGCGGCUGGAUAGGUCCGUUGUGAAAACUCGAGGCUCAACCUCGAGACGCCGAUGGAAACCAUCUAGCUAGAGUCCGGAAGAGGAGAGUGGAAUUCCCGGUGUAGCGGUGAAAUGCGCAGAUAUCGGGAAGAACACCCGUGGCUAAGGCGGCUCUCUAGUACGGUACUGACGCUGAGACGCGAAAGCGUGGGGAGCGAACAGG